CAUGGCUCAGGACGAACGCUGGCGGCGUGCCUAAUACAUGCAAGUCGUACGCUUCUUUUUCCACCGGAGCUUGCUCCACCGGAAAAAGAAGAGUGGCGAACGGGUGAGUAACACGUGGGUAACCUGCCCAUCAGAAGGGGAUAACACUUGGAAACAGGUGCUAAUACCGUAUAACAAUCGAAACCGCAUGGUUUUGAUUUGAAAGGCGCUUUCGGGUGUCGCUGAUGGAUGGACCCGCGGUGCAUUAGCUAGUUGGUGAGGUAACGGCUCACCAAGGCACGAUGCAUAGCCGACCUGAGAGGGUGAUCGGCCACAUUGGGACUGAGACACGGCCCAAACUCCUACGGGAGGCAGCAGUAGGGAAUCUUCGGCAAUGGACGAAAGUCUGACCGAGCAACGCCGCGUGAGUGAAGAAGGUUUUCGGAUCGUAAAACUCUGUUGUUAGAGAAGAAACAAGGAUGAGGAGGUAAACUGUUCCAUCCCCCUGACGGUAACGAAGCCGA
This 503-nucleotide ribosomal RNA is filed under the name Enterococcus faecium. Its description in RNAcentral is "bacterial SSU rRNA". It matches the Rfam family "Bacterial small subunit ribosomal RNA", at positions 18 to 487 of the family's 1533-position model. The record is from RNAcentral. Lineage: Bacteria; Bacillati; Bacillota; Bacilli; Lactobacillales; Enterococcaceae.